UAGGGAAUCUUCCGCAAUGGGCGAAAGCCUGACGGAGCAACGCCGCGUGAGUGAUGAAGGUCUUCGGAUCGUAAAACUCUGUUAUUAGGGAAGAACAAAUGUGUAAGUAACUAUGCACGUCUUGACGGUACCUAAUCAGAAAGCCACGGCUAACUACGUGCCAGCAGCCGCGGUAAUACGUAGGUGGCAAGCGUUAUCCGGAAUUAUUGGGCGUAAAGCGCGCGUAGGCGGUUUUUUAAGUCUGAUGUGAAAGCCCACGGCUCAACCGUGGAGGGUCAUUGGAAACUGGAAAACUUGAGUGCAGAAGAGGAAAGUGGAAUUCCAUGUGUAGCGGUGAAAUGCGCAGAGAUAUGGAGGAACACCAGUGGCGAAGGCGACUUUCUGGUCUGUAACUGACGCUGAUGUGCGAAAUCGUGGGGAUCAAACAGG
RNAcentral lists this ribosomal RNA (429 nucleotides) under Actinomycetes bacterium. Its description in RNAcentral is "Actinobacteria bacterium partial 16S ribosomal RNA". It matches the Rfam family "Bacterial small subunit ribosomal RNA", at positions 355 to 776 of the family's 1533-position model. The record is from RNAcentral. Lineage: Bacteria; Bacillati; Actinomycetota; Actinomycetes.